GACGAACGCUGGCGGCGUGCUUAACACAUGCAAGUCGAACGGUGACCCUCGGAGCUUGCUUCGGGGUGAACAGUGGCGAACGGGUGAGUAACACGUGAGUAACCUGCCCCUGACUCUGGAAUAAGCGCUGGAAACGGCGUCUAAUACCGGAUACGACACGCCUCCGCAUGGGGAGCGUGUGGAAAGUUUUUCGGUCUGGGAUGGACUCGCGGCCUAUCAGCUUGUUGGUGAGGUAAUGGCUCACCAAGGCGAUGACGGGUAGCCGGCCUGAGAGGGCGACCGGCCACACUGGGACUGAGACACGGCCCAGACUCCUACGGGAGGCAGCAGUGGGGAAUAUUGCACAAUGGGCGAAAGCCUGAUGCAGCGACGCCGCGUGAGGGAUGACGGCCUUCGGGUUGUAAACCUCUUUCAGCAGGGAAGAAGCGAAAGUGACGGUACCUGCAGAAGAAGCACCGGCUAACUACGUGCCAGCCGCCGCGGUAA
RNAcentral lists this ribosomal RNA (486 nucleotides) under uncultured bacterium. RNAcentral's name for it is "partial 16S ribosomal RNA". It matches the Rfam family "Bacterial small subunit ribosomal RNA", at positions 28 to 523 of the family's 1533-position model. The record is from RNAcentral.